RNAcentral lists this non-coding RNA (136 nucleotides) under Drosophila ananassae. Lineage: Eukaryota; Metazoa; Arthropoda; Insecta; Diptera; Drosophilidae. The record is from RNAcentral.
GGAGAAUAUGGAUUUGAUUGUGCAGAGGGGGUGCUAUACCGUAACUCGUAAGCCAUGCAAUCAGAUCAAGUCGACUCAAAACCUCCUCGUGGUAUUCUCUGGGUGCCAGUAUUUACUGGUAGCUGAUUUGAGCGGC